GCAGAGGAAGCUUUAGGCGCGGCACCUUCUGAGUCCCCUGGAACGGGGCGCCAUAGAGGGUGAGAGCCCCGUAUAGUUGGAUGCCUAGCCUGUGUAAAGCUCCUUCGACGAGUCGAGUAGUUUGGGAAUGCUGCUCAAAAUGGGAGGUAAAUUUCUUCUAAAGCUAAAUACCGGCCAGAGACCGAUAGCGCACAAGUAGAGUGAUCGAAAGAUGAAAAGCACUUUGAAAAGAGGGUUAAAUAGCACGUGAAAUUGUUGAAAGGGAAGCGCUUGUGACCAGACUUGCGCCGGGCAGAUCAUCCGGUGUUCUCACCGGUGCACUCUGCCCGGCUCAGGCCAGCAUCGGUUCUCGCGGGGGGAUAAAGGCCCUGGGAACGUAGCUCCUCCGGGAGUGUUAUAGCCCGGGGCGUAAUGCCCUCGCGGGGACCGAGGUUCGCGCAUCUGCAAGGAUGCUGGCGUAAUGGUCAUCAGCGACCCGUCUUGAAACACGGACCAAGGAGUCAAGGUUUUGCGCGAGUGUUUGGGUGUAAAACCCGCACGCGUAAUGAAAGUGAACGUAGGUGAGAGCUUCGGCGCAUCAUCGACCGAUCCUGAUGUCUUCGGAUGGAUUUGAGUAGGAGCGUUAAGCCUUGGACCCGAAAGAUGGUGAACUAUGCUUGGAUAGGGUGAAGCCAGAGGAAACUCUGGUGGAGGCUCGCAGCGGUUCUGACGUGCAAAUCGAUCGUC
Molecule: ribosomal RNA, 726 nt
Filed under: Chaetomium spirochaete
Lineage: Eukaryota; Fungi; Ascomycota; Sordariomycetes; Sordariales; Chaetomiaceae
Description: partial large subunit ribosomal RNA
Rfam family: Eukaryotic large subunit ribosomal RNA
Source: RNAcentral